Molecule: ribosomal RNA, 516 nt
Filed under: uncultured bacterium
Lineage: Bacteria
Description: bacterial SSU rRNA
Rfam family: Bacterial small subunit ribosomal RNA
Source: RNAcentral
AGUAGUUUGAUUCUGGCUCAGGAUGAACGCUGGCGGCGUGCUUAACACAUGCAAGUCGAAACGGAGUUUUUAAAUGGAAGUUUUCGGAUGGAAGUUUAGAAACUUAGUGGCGGACGGGUGAGUAACGCGUGGGUAACCUGCCUCAUACAGGGGGAUAACAGUUAGAAAUGACUGCUAACACCGCAUAAUAUAGCGAAACCGCAUGAUUUUGCUAUCAAAUAUUUAUAGGUAUGAGAUGGGCCCGCGUCUGAUUAGCUAGUUGGUGGGGUAAAAGCCUACCAAGGCGACGAUCAGUAGCCGGCUUGAGAGAGUGACCGGCCACAUUGGGACUGAGACACGGCCCAAACUCCUACGGGAGGCAGCAGGUGGGGAAUAUUGGACAAUGGGGGGAAACCCUGAUCCAGCCGACGCCGCGUGAGUGAAGAAGUAUUUCGGUAUGUAAAGCUCUAUUCAGCAGGGAAGAUAAUGACAGUACCUGACUAAAGAAGCCCCGGCUAACUACGUGCCAGCCGCCGC